This 253-nucleotide ribosomal RNA is filed under the name uncultured bacterium. RNAcentral's name for it is "partial 16S ribosomal RNA". It matches the Rfam family "Bacterial small subunit ribosomal RNA", at positions 524 to 776 of the family's 1533-position model. The record is from RNAcentral.
UACGUAGGGUGCGAGCGUUGUCCGGAAUUAUUGGGCGUAAAGAGCUCGUAGGCGGUUUGUCGCGUCGACUGUGAAAACCCGAGGCUUAACCUCGGGCCUGCAGUCGAUACGGGCAGACUAGAGUUCGGUAGGGGAGACUGGAAUUCCUGGUGUAGCGGUGAAAUGCGCAGAUAUCAGGAGGAACACCGGUGGCGAAGGCGGGUCUCUGGGCCGAUACUGACGCUGAGGAGCGAAAGUGUGGGGAGCGAACAGG